RNAcentral lists this transfer RNA (72 nucleotides) under Sphaerodactylus townsendi. Its description in RNAcentral is "tRNA-Ala". The record is from RNAcentral. Lineage: Eukaryota; Metazoa; Chordata; Lepidosauria; Squamata; Sphaerodactylidae.
GGAGCUGUGGCUUAGUGGCCAAGCAUCUUCUUAGCCUGAAGAGGGCCCCAGGUUCAAUCUUUGGCAUCUUUA